GAUGAAGAACGUAGCGAAAUGCGAUACGUAAUGUGAAUUGCAGAAUUCAGUGAAUCAUCGAAUCUUUGAACGCAUAUUGCGCUCUCUGGUAUUCCGGAGAGCAUGCUUGUUUGAGUAUCAGUAAACACCUCAACUCCCUUUUCUUUUUUGAAAUUGGAGCUGGACUUGAGUGAUCCCAACGCUUUCUUCCAAGAAAGUGGCGGGUUGCUUGAAAUGCAGGUGCAGCUGAACUUUUCUCUGAGCUAUAAGCAUAUCUAUUUAGUCUGCCUAAAAAACAGAUUAUUACCUUUGCUGCAGCUAACAUGAAGGAGACUAGUUCUUGUGCUGACUGAUGCAGGAUUCACAGAGACAGCUUCGGCUGACUUUGUAAACUCGAUCUCAAAUCAAGUAAGACUACCCGCUGAACUUAAGCAUAUCAAUAAGCGGAGGA
RNAcentral lists this unclassified non-coding RNA (430 nucleotides) under soil metagenome. Its description in RNAcentral is "partial contains 5.8S ribosomal RNA, internal transcribed spacer 2, and large subunit ribosomal RNA". The stretch from base 1 to 120 matches the Rfam family "5.8S ribosomal RNA", at positions 35 to 154 of the family's 154-position model. The record is from RNAcentral.